RNAcentral lists this ribosomal RNA (446 nucleotides) under uncultured prokaryote. Its description in RNAcentral is "bacterial SSU rRNA". It matches the Rfam family "Bacterial small subunit ribosomal RNA", at positions 355 to 796 of the family's 1533-position model. The record is from RNAcentral.
UCGAGAAUCUUCGGCAAUGGACGCAAGUCUGACCGAGCGACGCCGCGUGCGGGAUGAAGGCCUUCGGGUUGUAAACCGCUGUCAGAGGGGAUGAAAUGCAUGGUGGCUAUCCAUCAUGUUUGACAUAUCCUCAGAGGAAGUACGGGCUAAGUUCGUGCCAGCAGCCGCGGUAAUACGAACCGUACAAACGUUAUUCGGAAUCACUGGGCUUAAAGGGUGCGUAGGCGGCGUUGCAAGUUGGGUGUGAAAUCCCUCGGCUUAACCGAGGAACUGCGCCCAAAACUGCAGUGCUCGAGGGAGACAGAGGUGAGCGGAACUUAGGGUGGAGCGGUGAAAUGCGUUGAUAUCCUAAGGAACGCCAGUGGCGAAAGCGGCUCACUGGGUCUCUUCUGACGCUGAGGCACGAAAGCUAGGGUAGCGAACGGGAUUAGAUACCCCCGUAGUCC